Eleginops maclovinus (Patagonian blennie) is the source of this 2628-nucleotide long non-coding RNA. RefSeq lists it as uncharacterized. The record is from RefSeq and is a predicted model, not a curated record. The transcript is spliced from 2 exons. NCBI's taxonomy places the organism in Eukaryota, Metazoa, Chordata, Actinopteri, Perciformes, Eleginopidae.
GAGGGAUCCUUUGAGCCGAGGGACCAUCAGAGACUCGCGAUCCUGAACUACCAAACAGUUCAGUCUCCAACCUCUACAUUUGGGAGUACUGAUGGCCUGAGGCGGAGAAGAGCAUCAUCAAGAGGAUCCAGAGAACCAACGGCAUUUAUUUUUGUCCGGUGAGUCGUGAAUCAAAACUAAAUCAUUCUGUCUGUCGUAUAAAUGUGUGCCAGCGCUGACGCCUCACCGUCAUCCGUUGACCUCCAUCUGCCACGAAUCCCUGACACUCCUUUGGGGAUCCCUUUUCGAUAUCAACAGACUGUUUUACACUCACCAUCUUCAUGACCAAGCUACUCUGAUGAUGCUAUGUGUCAAUUUGACAUGAAUGAAGCAUCCAGCUUGAUGUCAGCUUCAAAAACCCAAACAGGCCUGAGGUAUGAAGCCUCUCCUCAGCCUCAAAGGCUCUCCCUGCACAUAGGUGAGGUAGCAGGACCACAGAGACCUAAACUUUUGUAUCGCCCUUGGACCACAGAUGACAGCAGGCAUCUAAACACCUACCUGGCAGUCGUUAUUCUGGAGAAACAUAUGCCGUGCAGCUGCAAACCCUUUGCAGUGAGUUUUGCCCCACCACAGUUGAGCUGCACAGGCUGCUCGCACUGACUUUGUCACCAUCUGACUGGGCUAAAAUCAGUCCUGUCUCCCCAACCAAUAAAGUUCAAGCAGUUGAGACUUAAUGGAAUGCCAACCAAAACGUCAACUAUGGGGAUGAUGUAAACAAUGUUGGCGCAGCGAUCGUCACGGCAUUUCCUGCCAGAGUGGACAUGUUGAAAGUGUGGGAGACUCAUCUCUCCAAUUUUUAUUGGAUUUAUUGCCGGACUGAAACCUAAUGUCAGAGCUGCUGUCCCAUUCUCCUGCGAGGUGCCCAGACAUGCCUCACGUGCUUAUGAACAGUUGCAGAUUAAGAAAACUAUUAAGAGGGAAAAGCAAACCAAUGAUGUGCAUAGAGUCACUAUCACCAUGCUGCAGUCACUCAGUUUGGCCCAUCUAAUAAUCCGGCUGCACGGAAGCAGCCCCAACAAGCCUUCGGAAAUCAGAGGACGAGGUAGAGACAGGGGACAUGGGAGAGGAUGUGGAUACCCCAGACCGAGCGGUGACAAGUGUUACCAUUGUGGACCACCAGGACAUUGGACACGUGAAUGCCCCAACAACCAGCAGGAGCAGCAACCACCAACAUCUGACUGAACUGAGAGGAGGCGGGGUGUCUUCUGUCAACACACAAAGGAGAGGUGACACACACACAUACACACACUGCAGCUACACGCAAUGAUGAGUUGCUUUUGCCUACACGAACAAAAAGACUCCGGACCUACUAUUUCUGUGUUAAAAACCUCCAUGCUUUCUCCCCCUCCUAAACUUAGUGGUCACUUUGUUCAUUCUGUGGGAGCUUCAGGGAUGACAGGUAAAGAACCUUUUACUUCCCCAAUCUCCUGCACUGACGAAGACAGCAUGCACGUUAAACACUCCUUCUUGUUAUCUCCAAAUCGUCCUGUAAAUCUUUUAGGCAGAGGUUUGAUCUAGUGUCUACCCCUGAGGGGCUAAAAGUGGUUCAGAUUGAAGAAAAACAUAUAUUGUGCACAUCAACUACUUCUCCUUCUUGUCCGUAGGCUUUUCAGUGACAUCUCUGCUGCCCUGAGGUUGUUGACACAUUGAAGAGGGAGGAGACACUGAAACUGUCGGCAGAGGCACCCCAAAGAGAGUGAGGUGAAAUAAGCACUCCUCUCCACCUGUAGCGUGCCAAGCUCCAACUAAGUGGCGUACAGGGCAUUUCUCUGUGUCACCCACGAGGGAUGGAAGAGCAGGAGAACGACCUUACCCACAAUCAACCCAAAGCAGCCCACUAAAGAAAGGCUGCAUCAUCACUCCACCAAUCAUGUGUUUUCUACUACCAGUAAUGUUUUCCCUCACACAUGAUGACACACAAAUGUUGCCUUUCCCAUUCAAGAGAUAACCAUGACCCACUCGCUUACAUCACCCUUUGCAACCUCUGGUAAGGGACUGUGAUCCGUGGUGUUGUUCUUUAAAAUCCAGACACACCGAUUCUGAUUCCAAAAUAUCCUGUUCAACUCAGCUGACUCCUGACUGUGACUCCCCUGAUGGCUCCUGUGAUGAGGAGUUUGCUAUGUAAAUAAUCACUUUAUUCUUUCAGUGUGCUACAACAACAAGAAUGUCUAUGUUCUACAAAAACAGCUAAAGGUAUUCAUUUCUGUUGAUCUGGUGAAAUAGUAGAUGAUCAAAAGAGUGGAAUUGUAAUGGGAAAAUAUUAUACUAUGAAUAUCGUAGUGUGAUUCUUAUUUUCUAAUGUUUAUCUCGGUUUAAUUUCACUUCUUUGCUAGUCUUGGGAAAAUUCCUUAAGAAGAUUUGUAGCAGUGUUGAUAGUUACACUCGCUGUGCACCAACAGUAUGACCUUCAACUUCAGUUGAACUGAGAACAUCCUGAUACGGCCUCCCUACCUCCCUAAAACGGAAUGAUCCUUUCAUUAUCACCAAGCUUGACUCCCUCUUUCUCCUCUCUGUGUUUAAAUAUGCAACCCAAACCCUAUUCUUCGUCUGACUGAACUUUCUUGCAAGAAAUAAAAUACCUAAAAGACA